GCCUCUGUGGUGUAAUGGUCAAUACGCUCGACGCGUAACCGAGAGGUCCGUGGUUCGAUUCCCGGCGAAGGCG
This is a non-coding RNA of Stegodyphus mimosarum, 73 nucleotides long. The record is from Rfam. Lineage: Eukaryota; Metazoa; Arthropoda; Arachnida; Araneae; Eresidae.